UUCACCUGCUGCAAGCCCUGUUAGCACACCUCCCACCGGGGUGACAACGCAAGAAGAAGCUGAAGAAAUAAUAUCCUCUCUGGCUGAAGAUGGUGGUGGUAACAGCUCGUCAGAGGCCGGUCACGAUCCUAACCCCUCUUGCUCAUCUCCCCCGUUAAAUUGGAACAGCCAUCAGUGGAGAGACUGGAAGAGCUCAUAUAGGUCUA
Long non-coding RNA from Sander lucioperca (pikeperch), 206 nucleotides. RefSeq lists it as uncharacterized. The transcript is spliced from 3 exons. NCBI's taxonomy places the organism in Eukaryota, Metazoa, Chordata, Actinopteri, Perciformes, Percidae. The record is from RefSeq and is a predicted model, not a curated record.